RNAcentral lists this ribosomal RNA (478 nucleotides) under uncultured bacterium. RNAcentral describes it as "partial 16S ribosomal RNA". It matches the Rfam family "Bacterial small subunit ribosomal RNA", at positions 28 to 523 of the family's 1533-position model. The record is from RNAcentral.
GACGAACGCUGGCGGCGUGCUUAACACAUGCAAGUCGAACGGUAAGGCCCUUCGGGGUACACGAGUGGCGAACGGGUGAGUAACACGUGGGUGAUCUGCCCUGCACUUCGGGAUAAGCCUGGGAAACUGGGUCUAAUACCGGAUAGGACUCCGGACUGCAUGGUCUGGGGUGGAAAGCUUUUGCGGUGUGGGAUGGGUCCGCGGCCUAUCAGCUUGUUGGUGGGGUGAUGGCCUACCAAGGCGACGACGGGUAGCCGGCCUGAGAGGGUGACCGGCCACACUGGGACUGAGAUACGGCCCAGACUCCUACGGGAGGCAGCAGUGGGGAAUAUUGCACAAUGGGCGCAAGCCUGAUGCAGCGACGCCGCGUGAGGGAUGACGGCCUUCGGGUCGUAAACCUCUUUCAGCACAGACGAAGCGCAAGUGACGGUAUGUGCAGAAGAAGGACCGGCCGACUACGUGCCAGCAGCCGCGGUAA